Molecule: ribosomal RNA, 557 nt
Filed under: uncultured bacterium
Lineage: Bacteria
Description: bacterial SSU rRNA
Rfam family: Bacterial small subunit ribosomal RNA
Source: RNAcentral
AACGCGUGGGAAUCUGCCCUUGGGUACGGAAUAACUCAGAGAAAUUUGUGCUAAUACCGUAUAAUGUCUUCGGACCAAAGAUUUAUCGCCCAAGGAUGAGCCCGCGUAAGAUUAGCUAGUUGGUGGGGUAAAGGCCUACCAAGGCUACGAUCUUUAGCUGGUCUGAGAGGAUGAUCAGCCACACUGGGACUGAGACACGGCCCAGACUCCUACGGGAGGCAGCAGUGGGGAAUAUUGGACAAUGGGCGAAAGCCUGAUCCAGCAAUGCCGCGUGAGUGAUGAAGGCCUUAGGGUUGUAAAGCUCUUUUACCAGGGAUGAUAAUGACAGUACCUGGAGAAUAAGCUCCGGCUAACUCCGUGCCAGCAGCCGCGGUAAUACGGAGGGAGCUAGCGUUGUUCGGAAUUACUGGGCGUAAAGCGCGCGUAGGCGGUUUUUUAAGUCAGAGGUGAAAGCCCAGUGCUCAACACUGGAACUGCCUUUGAAACUGGAAAACUUGAAUCUUGGAGAGGUCAGUGGAAUUCCGAGUGUAGAGGUGAAAUUCGUAGAUAUUCGGAAG